GAUGAAGAACGCAGCGAAAUGCGAUAAGUAAUGUGAAUUGCAGAAUUCAGUGAAUCAUCGAAUCUUUGAACGCACAUUGCGCCCGCCAGUAUUCUGGCGGGCAUGCCUGUUCGAGCGUCAUUACAACCCUCAGGCCCCCGGGCCUGGCGUUGGGGAUCGGCGGAGCCCCCGUGGGCACACGCCGUCCCCCAAAUGCAGUGGCGGUCCCGCCGCAGCUUCCAUCGCGUAGUAGCUAACACCUCGCGACUGGAGAGCGGCGCGGCCACGCCGUAAAACACCCAACUCUUCUGAAGUUGACCUCGAAUCAGGUAGGAAUACCCGCUGAACUUAAGCAUAUCAAUAAGCGGAGGA
Molecule: unclassified non-coding RNA, 351 nt
Filed under: soil metagenome
Description: partial contains 5.8S ribosomal RNA, internal transcribed spacer 2, and large subunit ribosomal RNA
Rfam family: 5.8S ribosomal RNA (bases 1-120)
Source: RNAcentral